CAUGAACAAAUUUUCAUAUUUUACUCAUCCCUAAAAAAUGUUGAGAAUACUGUGAACAGAAUACAAGAAAGAAGUUCCUGGUUGAAAUGAAAAUUAUGAAUAGAGAGUAAAUGAGCACAUGACAGAUGAGGCAUCCUAAGAAUUGAACUCAAAACGUCCCCAUCCCUUCGGUGACAUCUGAACUCAGAACCUCCCCCACCAAAUUGAGCAUCUGCCACAAGAUCAAAUCCCCUGUUUUUGCAUUUAUCAAAUGCAAGAUUUUAAUUUUUAAUUAAAUAUAUUAAGAUCUAGAUCUCAUCCUUGUGUUGUAUACACAUCAAUGACUUGUGUACUUAGCAAAGUAACCUGGCUUGGUUGGCUUGGUGUAGUCAUGUUGUGCUUCUCUCUCUGAAAUUCAAUAUCAAAUUUUCUUAUUUGAAUUACAAGUUCACAUGAAAUAUGAGUUUCCAGGUGGUAUUCUGAUUGGCUGCUUAUUCAGGCAAUUCAUCCUCCACCAUUUUGUAUCCAUACAUAUACACUCCUAGUCUUUUAUUUAGGUUGUUUACUUACAUUCUUCUCUUGGACAAUAAAAUAUAAUAAUCUUAUGAAUAAUUAAAUAGUUAAAUUUGAAGAUGAUAAAAGAAAAAUAGGGGCAUUCCGAGAAUCAAACUCGGGGCCUCUCGCACCCAAAGCGAGAAUCAUACCACUGGACCAAAUGCCCUGUUUCAACAUAUCAAGUUUAUUUAACAUGCUUUACUGUAAUUCCAAUAAUACCUUCUUGAUGUUGGUUCCAUGGUGCAAUUGAUGACUAAUGUGCAGUUGGUGGAUGUGUAGCUGGUGGAGCUGCUUUUUCAACGGUAGUUGAAUUAUGAAGUAUACAUGACAGAUGAGCAUCCAGAUGGGACUCAGGCUGGCUUCUUAUUCAGGAAUUCAUCUCCAAAUAAUUGGUACAGAUCUAUCUUGUGUUAUAUACACAUUAAUGAACGUGUACCUAGCAAAGUUGCUUUUUAACGGUUGAGGAAAUAAGAAAUAUGCACGUAUCAUGAUGGAUGAGCAUCCAGGUGGAAUUCUAGCUGGGCUACUUAUUCAAGCAUUCAUCCUCCAUCAUUUGGUAUCUAUAAACAUAAACUCCUAUCUUUUUUUUUUUUGGAGAGUCAUAAACUCCUAUAUUUUAUAGUGUCUUAUUUAGGUUGUUUACUUACAUUUUUUUUUUUUUGAAUGAGAUUUGGAAGUUAAAAUUGGAAAU
This is a non-coding RNA of Momordica charantia (bitter melon), 1225 nucleotides long. The record is from RefSeq and is a predicted model, not a curated record. Lineage: Eukaryota; Viridiplantae; Streptophyta; Magnoliopsida; Cucurbitales; Cucurbitaceae.